This 250-nucleotide unclassified non-coding RNA is filed under the name Hevea brasiliensis (rubber tree). Lineage: Eukaryota; Viridiplantae; Streptophyta; Magnoliopsida; Malpighiales; Euphorbiaceae. The record is from RNAcentral.
AGGAGGAAGCGGAGGCAGCGAGUAUGGAGCCCACAGAGUUCGCUCAUCAUCAUUUCCCACUUCUCUAUCGAUCUGUAGAGAGAGGUAGAUUAUUGAUAAUAGAUAGAGAAAUGGGUUUCCGCAGCUAAAGCUGUGGCCUGGAAAAUGGCUGCUGGCAUCGGAAACGGAAACCAAUGGAAGAAGAGGAGGCUAAAGCCGUUGAGGUUUAAGGGAAGGUUUUAGAUUGUCGUAUUUGUGCACACGUGCAUUU